This 1050-nucleotide long non-coding RNA is filed under the name Anas platyrhynchos platyrhynchos (common mallard). RNAcentral's name for it is "lncRNA (ENSAPLG00000025046.1)". Lineage: Eukaryota; Metazoa; Chordata; Aves; Anseriformes; Anatidae. The record is from RNAcentral.
GAUGAAUACAAACUGCUCAAGCCAGUACUGCCACCAAAAGAAAUGUCUACUAAACUACAGCUUUUAGAUACAUACCAAAUCCAGUUAGCAGCUUCUUACUGCCACUCUGGGAGAUGUUUUCUUUAAGAGCAGACUGUCAAUAUCGUGUUUACUCUUCAGUUCAGAAAGGCGGGUUUUUGUUUGCUUGCUUUAGCAUGACAAACUGUGCUGCUAUUGCCAAACUACAAGCAAGAGAGAGCGACACCCUGGGGUGUCAGCCAGAGGCAACAGGCUGGUUUGCAGCCUAGAUGUGUUUCUACCCACCACAUCAAUACCAGUAAGUUCAUCUUUCCAUUUUCACUGAAGUUGCUUAGUAACAGAAGAUGAGGGUAAAGCGUGUCCAGACUGCAUUGCAAUGUCUUGUCUUCAGGUUCAUUGAAAAAGAUGGACUAAUGGACCACCAAUGUGAAAAUGUUGUUCAUAUCUGAAUCAGUGGAUCCAUUUGAUAUUCCUCAAGGAGCUUUUAGAAGAAUAGCUUUGUCAUAUUUCUUUUCAGCCUAUAUAUUUUUAUGUGAUUGCCCUUUGACUAUAGCACAUCUAAGAAAUAAUGAAGAAUUUCCUUAGAUACUUGUUUCACAUGGCAUUCUGACCACUUUGAUAAAUAUACAGGAUGAGAAUUACCAUACUUUGGGCAGACACACUUUGAAUCAUUUUUAGUAUCAUUUUUAAGUGAACUUACAGUCCAUUACAAGGAGAGAAAUCUCAAGAAUUUUAAUAGUGUGGACCAGAACUUCAUAAAAGCACAGUCUCAUGGAUGGCUUCCUUCACUACUGUGAUCCUGAGAAUGAUCUUAUCUCCCACUGUAACUGUAUAACACCACUCAAUAGCAGGGCUGCAUUAAGGAAGUGUGCAGGUGCGAUUUUCAGGUCUUCAGCUGUGAUCUAGCUUUGCUGUUUUUGCAGGCAAAUAGUAAAGACGUAGUGCUUCCAAAGUCUAUUACAAGAUUUCUAAUUACCUUUGAAGAAAAUUCUCUAUUCAAAAAAACAUAAAUAAAUAAAAAAGCAAGCCUCA